This is a long non-coding RNA of Clupea harengus (Atlantic herring), 5247 nucleotides long. The record is from Ensembl. Lineage: Eukaryota; Metazoa; Chordata; Actinopteri; Clupeiformes; Clupeidae.
UCAUCUUUACAUCUCCAUAAGUUUAGUUAAAAUUAUGCAUAUACAGUAUUUCAGUAUGUUUUCUAACAGAGGAACGUUUAACUGCUCAUAGACUAAAGACAUUAUGCUAAGCUGUCACUGACAUCUUUAUUUAGAGCAAAUUAAUGGCAGAAACACACCACAAUAAACACAGACACACUCACACACAAACCUAUUAUUUAAGCAAACAUAUUUUUUAUUUUGUUAUAUGCACUUUUUUUUUGUAUAUAUAGUUUUCUUUUACAGUCCAGAAGAAAAUCUACGGAGGUGCAUAGUCAUGGUCAGAGGAGACUAUGAGAGACAUGUGCACGAAGGAGACAGAAGGGAGGGAAGGGCCGGUUCAGCAGGUGGAGGAUUUCACUACACACUCACUGGCACUGGUCAGAGAAGUACAAGCAUUGUGUUGAGCACAGAGACGCUCACCUCAAGCAUAGACAAAUGGUGCACGGCGUAUACAGAGAGGAGUCUGGUGUGGUGUGGCGUGGCGUGGCGCGGCACGGCACGGCACGGCGUGCUCACACCCUAAACUACACUCCUCUCGUCCUCCGUUCGACCCCAGAUGGGGGAGUCGCAGGCAGCAAGUGGAGGUUUUUAAAAACAUCUAUCCCACGUGUAUCCCGGUUACUCUGCAUUGGGACCCCGCUUCUGAUGCCGAGCGGAUCUGAAUGGAUCCACCUGCAAGUCGGGGGGGCUAAAUCCAUGCCAGAGUUGUGUGUUAUUAUGGGAUGUCCUUACUCUUCAAAGGUAGCUGGACAGUUCACACAGGGAAAAUGGUGUUUUUGCCGUGUUCAUCUGUGCUUGUUGUUCUGUGUUGGUCUGCCUAUGUGCAUUUGUUUUUAAAAACCAAGCCUAUAGAUUUGAGUAAAAGUGUCCUGUGCUUUUGAUAAUCAUCGUGUAAAACUGGUCAAAGCAUCCAUGUAUGCUUCAAAUGCCCACAGACCGCCCUCUUAGGGGCCCGAAAUAGCUUUGAGAUACCGGAGAUAUAUAUUACGUAAUGAGUUUUAAAACAGUACUGUACCAUCACAAAAGGGAACAGAGUUUCGAGUAUAUUAUAUUUUUUUUCUAGUGGAAAUGCAGUGUGUCUCACUGCAGGGGAAGAUCAUAUGUCCCUCUCUGGAAUGUUCUGGUGUAGUCUUGCGUAGCCAGAUGUAUGUCUGGAGACAACUGUGGUUAAAAGUGGCCUAAAUGUACGUAGGUUUGGAACAAUUACAGCAUUUGAACAUUUUGUAAACCAGCCCAGAGACCCAAAGGGGAGUCUUGGCCAGGACGCUAAAAGUACACGGACAUGCAGAAGAUAUGGAUGGGUCUUAGAGGGAUUACAGCAUUCGUUUUUGACACAUUUUUCGAGGCCACAGUUUCAGAGUUGUCUCCAGACGAUAGACAAUUGCCACAAAGUGCCGAGGCGUCCCCCCGGGACCCACAAGGCUAGCUAUGAGCUGACCUCACUGACUCUUGGAUUGGCAGUGUGUGCAGGAGCCGCUCGGGCAGUGAAAUCCUUUUAUGAGUAUCAAAUUUGAAUACACUUAAUAGGUCAUGGCUAAUGUUCUUCUAACCCAGAAGUGGCAGGUUAUCACCUUAGAGAGCCAAGGGCGUUUAGGUUUGCAUUUCAAACAAGUUUAGGUUUGCAUUUCAAACUCCACAGUAUGACACUGGAAAACCUGCUUGAAAUGGUAACAUGAACACACCUUGCUCGCUCCAAUAUGGCGUAUGAUUCAAUCUAAACUUGUAAAAUAUUUCAAAAGUGGCAGUAGUAUUAGUCAGAAUGACAUAUUGUCACUUUUUAUCAUGUACAUAAAAUGUUCUUUAGACUUUAGUUAGUGUUAAAAUCUUAAAAUUUACAGCAAAUUUGUUCAAAUUGCCCAGCGGUUUACAUUAUGCAGCAAAUCAUAGUAUUGUAAGCACAUUUGUCCCACAAUGCAUUGCAGUAAGGAUUUCAAAUGUCAAUUGCUGUCAAAAUAACCAUCUCUUAAAAUACCACACAAUGUUUGCCAUCGCCAGACAGUGAAGCCAUGAUAUUGUGUAGCCAGUGUUUUGAGACAUAAUAGACAAAUUCCCCCUUGAAACACAUUUCUGUGUUUAAAACUCUGAAUCAUAUGUCACUUCCCAAUGUGACAGUUGUAUAGACAGAUACUGAGACAGGUUACCAGUGACAUGACAUAUUUGACAUUAAAAAUGCUGUCUAUUGUGUAAGUGCCCAGAUUCAGAAGUUAAUACCAGUGCCUGUCCUGGAUGCAGAAACACGCAUGGUCUCCAGACAGUUACAGUAGCGUACUGACACAUACAGAGGGAACGAGAGAGAGAGAGGGAACGAGAGAGAGCGAGAGAGAGAGGGAGAGAGAGAGAGAGAGAGAGAGAGAGGGAGAGAGAGAGAGAGAUGGUCUCCAGACAGUCACAGUAGCGUACUGACACAGACAGAGGGAACGAGAGAGAGAGAGAGCGAGAGAGAGAGAGAGGGAGAGAGAGAGAGAGAGAGAGAGAGAGGGAGAGAGAGAUGGUCUCCAGACAGUCACAGUAGCGUACUGACACAGACAGAGGGAACGAGAGAGAGAGAGAGCGAGAGAGAGAGAGAGGGAGAGAGAGAGAGAGAGAGAGAGAGAGGGAGAGAGAGAUGGUCUCCAGACAGUCACAGUAGCGUACUGACACAGACAGAGGGAACGAGAGAGAGAGAGAGCGAGAGAGAGAGAGAGAGAGAGAGAGAGAGAGAGAGAGAGAGAUGGUCUCCAGACAGUCACAGUAGCGUACUGACACAGACAGAGGGAACGAGAGAGAGAGAGAGAGAGAGAGAGAGAGAGAGAGAGAGAGGGAGAGAGGGAGAGAGAGAGAGAGAGAAGGGGACAAUAAAGAGACAAUACAGAAAAGGAAACAAAUGACAGUGAGGAAAGGAGGAGAGAAAGAGAGACAUACAUAGAUAGAGAGAGUGAGAAAAAUAGAGUGAGGUGAAGGAGAGGAAAUAGAGAGGCAAAUUUAACGACAAUAACAACGAGGAAAUAAAUGAAGGGGAGGGGAGCGAAAUAGCGAUAGAGAAGAGAGAGAGAGAGAGAGAGAGAGAAGAGAAGAGAGAGAGAGAGAGAGAGAGAGGGGAAUGCUGGGACUGCAUUGCUGCAGCUGAAAUGGGCUGGGCUACUUCUGGUGCAGAGCUCCCCUCUAUCCAGGCACGAGCAGCCGAACCCAGAGAAAAUCAAUCCCAACUGACGGCAAUGCACUAGAUCAGACAGCAGGGGUCUGAAACAGGCUGGAGGUGUAGCAGAGAGAGAGAGAGGGGAAACAGAGAUGGAGCACACACACGCACACACACACACACACACACACACACACACACACACAUAGGAAACACUGGGGAGAACAGAGGCAAGAGGCAAGUGGGAGGACAUAUAGGGAAUAGGGGAGAGAGAGAGGAUGAGCCAACGUGUACAUUCAUUGUCCGAGCUCUUUCAGCCGGGAAGACGUGCUGGAUAAAGACUUUAGCAGAAGGUUUGAGUGUACCCAAAGUGCAAAUAGACCAGAAAUGAAGUAUAUAUGUAACAGAAGGCAAGUAAAUAUUGAAAUGAAAGAACAAACAAACAUAUUCUCCAUUCUAAGGCCAGUGUGAACAGAAAUGUCCUCUGAGUGCAUUGGCACAUAACUGUGUUAUACAGAUUCAAACAUUUCUGUUAGACAGAUUCAAACAGUAUUGCUUUUUUAUCCCAGCAACAGCCAGCUUGUUUGACCCUCAUUAUUGGUGAAAUCAUCAGCCUCCCUCGUUUGAGCUUUCCGAUGCCACAAGGCCCAUAAUGCCUUGCGUGCAUAGACUGAGAGCUGCAAUAUCCAUGAGUAUUGCAAUGGUAUCACAUAAAGAGGGUAUCACAUUUUUUUUCAUGAGAGUUUUACGCCACAAGCUAAAUUUGUAUGCAGGAUUUUAUAGUCAUUUGACGACUCAAUUUUGAUGUUAAUCGUGUCGGCCAAACAACAUUAUUGUUAACCUAAAAUGUAAGUGUCGUCUGCAUGUAUGUUUUUGUGUGGAUCUCUGUAUGUGUGUAUACGUAUGUGUUUGUGUUGAUCUCUGUAUGUGUGUGUGUGUGUGUGUGUGUGUGUGUGUGUGUGUGCACGCAUGUGUGGGUAUGAACACAAUAUCUCAUAAAGAUUCCUUACUCCAGAUCAAACAUAAACAUCAGUGCCGUCCACGGGCAGAUUGAUCAUUGAUCGAUAAGGCCAACGGGCAAACCCCCUAGCGGACCCCUUCUCAGUAGAUCUGAUUACAGACAUUGUGUAUUGCAACAUCAGUUAGUAAAAACCAUGAGAAUAAAAUAAGGUACUUAUUGCUCUGAUCAGAUUCUGAACACAAAAGGGCAAGCAGGACAGAGGUAACUCUUUGGAUUAUUUGCCAAUAAUGAUGAUAAUAAUAAUAAUAAUAAUAAUAAUAAUAAUAACAACAACAAAAGAAAAACAGUGAUACUGAGUCAAAACUACCUUGAAAUAAUUCCCAUAAUUCAUUUCAAGCACACGCCUGACCGUGGGAUUAUGGGACUGCGACUGGACUAAAAGCUUUUAAAAGCCUCCCAAGCCAAUCUUAGGAUAGCCCAAGGCCCUGAUUCUUGAAGGACAGUCAAGUGUAAAGGAAGUUUGUUUUAAAAGGUGCUCGCCAGGAUACGGAAGCACUCACAACGCCUAACAAAGCUCACCUUUCCAUACCUAACCUACCUAUAUCCACGAGAAAAGGACCUAUUUCACUGAACCGACUGUCACCACCUUCCAUUAAACACAGCAAACUCGGUUACUUUCUCUACGUCACACGUUUACAUUGUUUACAUAAAAAUAAAAUAAUCACAAAAAUAAUCUACACGGUUAAAGUGCCCAUAAGGAUCCUCUUCAAACCCCCGCAUCCAAGCAGGGAGUGCAGUGCAGAUGUUUGACGAGGUCAUUAUAAUAUUUACUUUCAUCUAAAUUUGCCAUUGAAAGCAACAUUCAUCGAUUAUAUUUUCCUGAACUUCCAUUACAAUUAGGCGUCAGACGUGAAAUUGAUACACAGAGGUAUAUUUGUCUUUGCCGAUGGCAAGUAAGGGUUUGAAAACUGGGUUUGGUUGUCAGACUGUUGUGGGGGAGAAGGAAACGAGUUUCCCUUUGCUGGGUUCAAAUAUUUCAAGAUAAAAGAUUCAUUAAAAUCAAGUGUUUGUGAUAAAAUCCUCUCUCUAUCUUAAUUUUUCCAAUACUGAUCUUGUUGAUUAAUAAAAUAAAUAAAAUGCAUGCCUCAUU